GGUUUAGAAUGACAUCGCCUCCUCCUCCUUUCUCCUUUGAUCGUCUAUGCCUCCGCUUCCUCUCUCCUUCGAUCAUCUAUGCCCUUGCCCCUGCUUCCUCUCCUUCGAUCAUCUACGCCUCUUCCCCCUCCUCCUUCUUGGCUCUUCUCCUCAUUUCCUCAUAUCUUCUUCUUCGUCAACAUAAGCUGGGCCAUGGUUUUGACUAUCAGCUAUUUCAUACCUAAAAGUAUUGGAUCUUGAGCAAGCAGUGAAAGGGCUAUCUGAAAGAGGUUGUGCGUCUUGCUUUGGAAUUCCAAAUGAAAUAUGUGAUGAUGAUAUAAAGGAGAUUUUGGAUUUGCUCACUAUAUCCGAUAAGGUUAUUAUUACCUCGUGGAUGCUGGUUACACAAAUUGUGAGGAAUUUCUUACACCCUACAGAGGAACGAGAUAUCACUUAUCGGAAUGGAGAGAAGGAUGUGCACCCUUGAACCAUCGAGAAUACUUUAACAUGAAGCAUGCAUCAGCAAGAAACGUGGUGGAACGUUGUUUUGGACUUCUUAAGAUGCGUUGAGCAAUCUUAAGGAGUCCAUUGUUCUAUCCAAUACAAACACAAGGCCAAAUAAUAAUGGGUUGUUGUCUUUUACACAACUUAAUUAGGAGAGAGAUGUCUAUAGAUCCAAUGGAGAAAGAAAUUUAUUAUGAUCCCCUCAUUGAGAACAAUGUAGAUUAUGGCACUACUGAUACCAUUGCCGCAUCCGACCAAUAGUCUGCAUGAAGGGAUAAUUUGGCUACUGAUAUGUUUAAUGGGUGGAUGGCACAUAGAGCAACAUAAGUAUUUGUUGAUCAUUUGAAUGUACUUUAAAGAAUUUUCGUGUUAUUAUUAA
Molecule: non-coding RNA, 862 nt
Organism: Prunus mume (Japanese apricot)
Lineage: Eukaryota; Viridiplantae; Streptophyta; Magnoliopsida; Rosales; Rosaceae
Source: RefSeq, a predicted model, not a curated record